This 373-nucleotide ribosomal RNA is filed under the name uncultured organism. Its description in RNAcentral is "partial 16S ribosomal RNA". It matches the Rfam family "Bacterial small subunit ribosomal RNA", at positions 527 to 896 of the family's 1533-position model. The record is from RNAcentral.
GUAGGAUGCAAGCGUUACUCGGAUUUAUUGGGUGUAAAGGGCUCGUAGGUGGCCCUGUAAGUCAUAGGUGAAAGCCCUCGGCUUAACCGAGGAAUUGCCUAUGAUACUGCAGGGCUUGAGUACUGGAGAGGGAAGCGGAAUUCCUGGUGUAGCGGUGAAAUGCGUAGAUAUCAGGAGGAACACCGGUGGCGAAGGCGGCUUCCUGGACAGAUACUGACACUGAGGAGCGAAAGCGUGGGGGUAGCAAACAGGAUUAGAUACCCUGGUAGUCCACGCCCUAAACGAUGGGUACUAGGUGUGAGGACGAUUUAAAGUCUUCGUGCCGCAGCUAACGCAAUAAGUACCCCCACCUGGAAGUACGGCCGCAAGGUUG